UUGCACAAAAAUUAGGGAAAAUCUCUCUCUUCUUUCCGUCGACCAGCCACCCUACCAGCGCCGCCUCCUCUUCCGUCUCUAUCUCCGUCUCCGUCUCCGGUGGUGUUCCCCUCCUCCCCCUCAUCUCUCUCUCUCUUCUCUCCCUCUUCACCGUACGCUGCCGCCCUCUCUCUCUCACGGACUACUCCACCACCGCCGCCGCAGCGAGCACGACGACGCACCGCCACCACCGUGUGCAGCACAGACACCGCCGUAUCUCCAGAUCCUCCUCCGUUCAAGUCAGCCGCCGCCGCCACUGUGCAUGCACAGGUGGCGGCUUCGGCCUUCUCCGAGCCUCACACCGCCGGUCGCUGCCGCAGCCUAGACCCCUCCCACGCCGCCGACACCGAUUCCUGACAGAUUUUUAAAGAAAUGAAAACUGUGACUUUCGGAGCGUUGGUUGUCGAUUGUCGGCGACGGAGUGCCAAGCUUGCUGUCGGAAUUCGGCAGAUUCAUAGGGAUAAGUUUUUCUCCUUCUUUCUAGUUAUUAAGGCAGUAGGAUUCUACUUGGUUUCUAUUUACUGAAUUUGGUGAAUUAUGAGUAUAUGCCUUGCUAUAUGGAUGAUUUAAUGGUGAAAUAUACUAUAUUGUUAACUUGGGGGUGGGCAGAUUCUAUUUCCAAAUAUAUGCAGACUUGUACAUAUAUGAAUGAAAGGAAAUGUUUGUUAUUUACCUUGUUGAUGCAGAAAGUAAAGUGUUGGGUUGUAGUGUUUGAGUUGUGCAAUCUCCUUCGGACUCCUCUAGCUUUUGUGGGUUGGUGUGUGCAUAGAAAAUAGAUUGUGUGGUGAUGAUGUGGGGUGAAUAAAAGAAAUGAUUGUAUAUCUAUAUGCGUAUUCACCAAGUCAGUGAAACUGACGUAGCAAGUUGGCUAACAAAAUUUUAUCUCAAUCUCCUCCUUUGCCAGAGGAAGAUAUGAUUGUCUGCUAAACAUUUAAUGCAAUAAUAAAUGCUUUGUCGGAAGAAUAAUUGAUCCAUAGGAUCGGCCCUAUUCGUUCUUUUUUUUGUUUAUUUUAUUUGUUUAUUAAAUUAAUUAUUUGAGUAUUUGUUCACUUAUUCGUUUAAUUUGGUGUAGGUAUAAUCGGUUCAAGUUCGUGGCUGCCCGCUCUGAAGUACCCGAUUUGCUUAGAACAUAGGAUGUAUUAAAUUUUGUUGGACUUUUGUUGGAUGUAUUGGACAUCAAGAAUUUAAAUUUUGGGAUCUUAUUUAUUUAUUUAUUUAAAUUUAUUAUAUUCA
Molecule: long non-coding RNA, 1272 nt
Organism: Salvia splendens (bonfire salvia)
Lineage: Eukaryota; Viridiplantae; Streptophyta; Magnoliopsida; Lamiales; Lamiaceae
Exons: 2
Source: RefSeq, a predicted model, not a curated record